Molecule: long non-coding RNA, 1657 nt
Organism: Herpailurus yagouaroundi (jaguarundi)
Lineage: Eukaryota; Metazoa; Chordata; Mammalia; Carnivora; Felidae
Exons: 3
Source: RefSeq, a predicted model, not a curated record
AGAGUAUUCUUGGCUGGUGAUUUUUCCAUUCAGCACUUUGAAUAUGUCAUGUCACUUCCUUCUGGCUUGCCAAGAUUCUGUUGACAAAUCUGUUGCUGUGCUUUGGUGUUUGGGGACAUGUGGCUGUGUGAGACAGAUAAGGGUAGCUGGGGGUGCACAGCUGGGUACGGUGCAGAUGUGUGCAGUGGCAGCUUUGCCUACAGCUGGCCAGACAGGGUGCCCAUGUGGUUUUAAAAAAGUUUGCCCCAAGGCCAGCAGGCUUUGAGUGGGCGAGUCCCCUAGAGAACUCUUGGGACUGGCACAAAGCUAGCACGUUAGGUAGCAAGUGUCUUUGUAGGUCCAAUUCCUGGUAGGUGCCUCUGUGCUUAAUCUGGGGGUGGGGGUUGGGGUUAAAAAUGGUGCCUGUGAGCUCCCUCAUUUUUGGAAAAGUCCCCCAACCACUCAGAAGUCAGCAAGAACAGAUCUGCCUCCUGUUGCCUUGGCAUUGUGUAAAAUGCCAUGUGUACAUUGCCUCUCUACACAGGUAGGGACCUGGUUACACUCAUCCUCCUAGAUCACCCAGUGCUGGGUCAGCUGAUCUCCAAAGCUCCAGGAACCAAACUCAAGGGAAUUCAGCCCCUCUGGGUUUUACAGCCAAAUGUUCUGGGGAUUAGUCUUCCCUGUGUCAGCUCCCUGUUGUGAGGGCUCACUUUCUCUGUCUUCUCUGCAGGCAGCCAGCCUCCACCUUUCUGACCUUCCUAACCUUUCUGAUGAAGCUUCUCUCUAUUUAGGUGGGGGGUUUGUUCUGCCAGUCUUUGGAUAGCUCUCUGGUUCAUGGACUUGGAUGUGUAUGUUAUGUAGUUGAACACAUGGGACAGGAUAUUGCCCAGGUGUCUGAAUGCCUGCACUGGGGUACCUACCUCCUUUUCUGAUAGACUGUAUUCCUUUUCCAUGUUUUAGCUGUACCUGUGACACAGGAUACGAGAGAACAUGCUCAUGUGAACACAAGUGAAGGACACGGUGGGGACUUGCCAUACAGGUAAUUUUUUUCUCUUCACAACUUAAGUUUCAGUGCAUGUUUUCUAUGAAAAGUAUGCCACCUCUUAUAGGUCAGAGUAUUUAUGCCCAGGGCACACUUGAAGGGAUUCUGGACAGCAUGUUUACCAAAAUGCUGAUGGGUAUAAAAUUUAUUUUGUCUAAGACCAUUCUAAAUGACACAUACAAAAAUAUAAGUUGGAGUGAAAGCAGUUUGCAUUUUCAAAUUGUAAGGAUACCCACAGAUUUUUCUGAACACGUUAAAACCCUUGAGAAGAAGAAAGAGCAAGAGCAAUGAUUCCACAUUGAGGAGAUCCAGAAUGAAUGAGGCAAGGUAGGAGACUUCCAAGUGGAGUGUGGUGUCAUCCUCCUUGAUUUUUUCCAGGAACACAUUGGAAAAUCCCUAUGGUCCUCACCCUUAAGCACGCUUUGCUUCUAAAGUUACCAGAAAGAGAUGCCAGGUAGAAAACAGGGAAGCCUGUAGACUCAGGGGUAAAGGUUUUGCAUUUGGAAAAAAACAAAACAAAAACAAAAGACAUACCAUACAACACACAAACCAGAGACAAUGGCAGGAGAGUGUGCUGUACAGAAAGAUGUGGCUGUCCAUAAAGACUUAGAACUGAAAAUGGCCACAGCAUUUACC